This 497-nucleotide ribosomal RNA is filed under the name uncultured bacterium. Its description in RNAcentral is "partial 16S ribosomal RNA". It matches the Rfam family "Bacterial small subunit ribosomal RNA", at positions 28 to 507 of the family's 1533-position model. The record is from RNAcentral.
GAUGAACGCUGGCGGCGUGCCUAAUACAUGCAAGUCGAGCGAACAGACGAGGAGCUUGCUCCUCUGACGUUAGCGGCGGACGGGUGAGUAACACGUGGAUAACCUACCUAUAAGACUGGUAUAACUUCGGGAAACCGGAGCUAAUACCGGAUAAUAUAUUGAACCGCAUGGUUCAAUAGUGAAAGACGGUUUUGCUGUCACUUAUAGAUGGAUCCGCGCCGCAUUAGCUAGUUGGUAAGGUAACGGCUUACCAAGGCAACGAUGCGUAGCCGACCUGAGAGGGUGAUCGGCCACACGGGAACUGAGACACGGUCCAGACUCCUACGGGAGGCAGCAGUAGGGAAUCUGCCGCAAUGGGCGAAAGCCUGACGGAGCAACGCCGCGUGAGUGAUGAAGGUCUUCGGAUCGUAAAACUCUGUUAUUAGGGAAGAACAAAUGUGUAAGUAACUAUGCACGUCUUGACGGUACCUAAUCAGAAAGCCACGGCUAACUACGUG